GUGCCAGCAGCCGCGGUAAAACGUAGGAGCCAAGCGUUAUCCGAAUUCACUGGGCGUAAAGCGCAUGCAGGCGGUCCGGUAAGUUGGAUGUGAAAUCUCCCGGCUCAACUGGGAGAGGCCGUUCAAUACUGUUGGACUAGAGGGCGACAGAGGGAGGUGGAAUUCCGGGUGUAGUGGUGAAAUGCGUAGAUAUCCGGAGGAACACCAGAGGCGAAGGCGACCUCCUGGGUCGUACCUGACGCUCAGAUGCGAAAGCUAGGGGAGCGAACGGGAUUAGAUACCCUAGUAGUCC
Molecule: ribosomal RNA, 292 nt
Filed under: uncultured bacterium
Lineage: Bacteria
Description: partial 16S ribosomal RNA
Rfam family: Bacterial small subunit ribosomal RNA
Source: RNAcentral